This is a long non-coding RNA of Solenopsis invicta (red fire ant), 24267 nucleotides long. RefSeq lists it as uncharacterized. Lineage: Eukaryota; Metazoa; Arthropoda; Insecta; Hymenoptera; Formicidae. The record is from RefSeq and is a predicted model, not a curated record. The transcript has 3 exons.
UUAAAACUCUGCUUCUAGCGAAAUCUAUUCUUUGCAUUACCGUUUAACAGCCAAUAUUUGUCCUUCCUUCGUUAUUCUUUUUUCGCGCGAAUACGGUGAACAAAACCGAUUUUGUUUUAUUUGCAAAUAAAACGCCUCUAGGAUACAGCCUAUUCCUGUGCAUUAUUAUUACGUCACUCUCGCGCGAAAUUCCGCUAACUCUCAUCAAGAGAGUGAAAUGUAUUUAAUAAUAUAAUUUGCGUAAUAUUGCAACACAUACACACACAUUCAAAUAACUUUUUAUUGGAUGCGAAAGAAAAAAACAGUUGACUGACAGUCGGCGAAUUUGAAUGCCACAAUAAUGGUGCCAAUUCAACACUAAUUGAAACACUUGCAAUCAAUAAAUACAAAUACAAUGACGACAUCGUGUGGACCGAAAAAGCGAACUAGAGAGAGAGAGAGAGAGAGAGAGAGAGAUGAUCAGUUGAAAAUAUAAUUCUCGUAAUUGGGUUGUAUUACGAUUGCAUUUUCUCAUUUCGUUUGUACUAUUUCAAUUUAAUUACUUUUUAAGUUGCGAUAUGCAACUUGAUUUUACGCCGCAGCAGAAUAUCGUGUUCUAUCAAUCGUAAUUUCUAAACUUUCAGACUUUUAACUUUUAUCUUCGCUACGUAAUGUAUUCAUUUGAUAUGGUGCUACAGAAAAGUCACGAUAAAGAAUUUCGCUAAUUAAACACCAUUAUAAGCGUGCCUUCGUUUCUCGUAAUAUUUGGAUGAUAAUAAUCAUUUUAAUAAUAACACUAUUUUCGACAAAUUUAAACUUUUUCAGAUUCUAAUUAAUUAAAGUAGUUCUUAUAUAUAGAUCUUUUGUAUUGCUCAAAGCGAUCCACUAAUAAAAUUAUUUUAUUACACCACAUUUUUGAAAAAAUUCGACUUAAAAUGACAUAAAUGAUUUCUGGAUAUUUUUGAGCUAAAAUAGUUCAAAAAUGUGACGUGACGGGAUAAUUUUGUAAACGGAUUCAUUUUUUCUAGAGUCAAAAGAUCUCUAAGAGUCAUCUACUAUAUCGGCUUCUAUUAUAAUAGGACAGAAAGUCGAAUAAAAGCAGGUUUAAACGCAUGAAUAUUAAGAGAUCAACCAUAACAUUUUAGAAACAGAUUAAAUUUUUCAACAAAUAUAUGUUUUAUAGAAUAGAUGGCGUUUUACUGCUAAAGUUUGGAAGAAAAAAUAAUAGCGAACGAGUGAUAACGGUUACGUCUAAAGGAAUCGGAAUUUGACACUUUUAUGCGAUAUGUCGAUAGUAUCCUUUAUAUCGCGCCAAAUGUAGAGGACCAAAGGGUUAAAGCCGAAGACGACUUUUCAUGCCGUUGACAUGACGCGAAGAAAGCAUAUAGACGGUGUCGAGAAUCUCUCCAGCAUUUCGAGAUGCCACGCUAAUUCCACGUCGAGUUCUCGAUCCUUCCAGUCUUUUCUCAAGCAGUUCCUCGGUGCAUGAUGCCUUCUCUCUGACGAAGGAGAGAAGCUUGUAUAUAGGGUGUUCGCAAGUAUCAUCCUUGAUUUUAAUGAGAUUUCUUUAGAUUUUAAAUUGCUUUUUCUCAAUGAAAAAUGUCGAGGUAGAUUAUCUUACGUUUGAAUUUUUAAUAUAUCUUUGCAUACUGAGCUACGAAUGAAAAGUGUUUUGGUAAAAACUUUUUCGAAAUUUUUUGAAAAGUGAUACUUCUUACGAAACACCGAUGAAAACUUUUAAUUUCGCGAAAUCGUAUUGCAAGUUAACCAGAGAUUGUCAUAAAAGUUAAAGUCGGCGGUUUCAGGACACCGCGUAUAGCGAGUCGCAGAUAGACGUGCACAGUCUGCGUGCAUGACAGAUCCCGCGGUUCGCAUGGAGAACUUUACGGGACGAUAAUGGACAGAUUUAUGAGACUGUUUAUCGAUCCUCGAGUAAAUCCAAUUUUCGUAGCCGCGACGGGGCGACGAGAAUUCCGUCCGCGGGACAUCGUAAAGAACAUGGAAAGGCGAGGGCAAAAAGUUGCCGAGAACUUAACUUCCGUCCAUCCGUCCAUCUUGUCGGUGCAAACCUGAAUUUAUCAGGUCAAUUUAUGAGUAAUUUCCGGGUCGCCGUGAAUGAUUUUCGUCUUGCCUUUUAGAUUCGGAAUUUUACGCAGGUGUUUGAAAAACCGACGGUCGAAAAAGUUGCACAGCAAUUGACGUGAAAUAAAUUACAAAUAAAUUACAAAGACAUAAUAUAUAUAUUUCAUUAUUUCGUAACAUAAAAUAAAGUGUUAAAUGAGAGAAAUAUGUAUUAAACUUUAUAAAAUACGAAAGAAAAUUAGAGCGCGUUAGAUAUUAAGUUUUACGAUAUGCAAAUAAUUAAGCGAUUACAAUCGCUCGUUCACCAAAGUAUGAAAAGCACGGCGAAAAAAAAAACGGGCAAAUCUGCCGCGACAAGGCCACUGGGCCGGAUCUUCAUUUUCGCGAACUCAGGCCUUAACUUUCGGACUCGAGGCUUUUUCAUGGUUUAAGGACAAGCCGGAGGAGGAGCCCUCUCUCGCUCGUCCCUCAAAUCCUUUCAUAAAGAAUAUCCAUCCUUCCAACUCACGUCCAAGAGCACUUGCUAUCCCUCCUUUCUCCUGUCCCCUCCGUCUCUUUCGCUUCCUCGUUUCUUUGUCCUCAUCUUCCCUCUCCUCUACGUGUCUCUAUCUCGACGUACUUCUUUUCCACUCUCGAUAUCGCUUCCGCGUAUCUCUCGUAGUUUUUUCUUCUGCACUCAUCGUGUUUCGUUAUUUUGCAUUUUUACGGACGCGUGUAACCGACAAAGCACGAGGAUCGCAUCGAUUCCGAGCUUUCCCUUCGAGGGCCGCGGGUCGAGUUCGAGUAUCCUUGACAGACUGACGCAAGCGUAUAGUCUUUCCAGUACUCGAAAUUGUUCCGGCUAUUGGACAUAGAGCUUUGGCCAUUCGAAUCUUACGAAACGGAAACCCGCGGCCGGAAUUGAAAAGCUGACACUAGCAGUCCACCGUAUUGCGGUGAGGUAGGAAAACUAUUUUUCAACAAUUUUAGCUCCCGCGUCCUCUGGGGAGGAAAAAAAAUACGCGCGUUAAAGGAUUAAAAACGCAUCGGACGCAGUCGCGCGUGCUCGAAAGUUGAUCGAGAUUAUCGAGUAUUCGAACCCGAAGGGGAGGAGAGAGAGGGAACGUACUCGAUUUCGGCCGGUGUGCAGUGCCGGGACUGUCGGGGUUUCCGACCGAGAUCGAACAAUCGCGACACUCGAGAAUUUCCGGUACCCACAUCCACCCUCCCCAGCGCUACUCGCCGUCUCCCCUCGAAAUGCUAUAGGUUUUUUUUUUUUUUUUAAUUUUGCGCUUGCAUUUUCGUCGACCUCGCGGUCGAUUCUGAGCGCCUCGCUCUCUCGAGCAAUCGGAUAACCGCUCGGGGAAUCACGAGACCUGACGGUCGAUGAAUAAAGGAGACGUCAUUUAAAUUGUAAAUGCCCGCGAUAUCCGCGCGGAGGCAAACCUUCAAUUAGGGCUCCGCACGCGGAGGAGGCGCACGUAUACGAGACGUGGGGCUCUCGGCGCCGGCAUUGCUGCGUAAGAUGUGCCAGAUAGAUAGAGGGACAGUCGCUUGUUGCGAUUUAGGCGAAACGACGUGUAAACUUCCACCGUCGAACGCGAACAGAUAAUGCGCCGAUAACGCAACGAUUGCAUCGAUCGCGCCUUUCAUCGCUCUCACUUUUAUUUCUUCAGUAAAAACUGAUGGUAAAAUCGUCGACAAUCUUGCAUCGCCUCUUUUAUUUUCACAUAUUGUUUGCUUCCAUAUCACUUUUUAAUUCUUCUUUUUUUUUUUUUCGAAAGAGAUCCCGUCUCGCCUCCUAUUUUCGAUAAUUUUUUACUAGUCUGCUGAACUGCGUAUUAGUAUCUAAUACGCAUGUACAAAAAAGAUAUUCUGCGUUUUCCAACGGUGGUCUUUGCGUGUGUACAACGCAUCCUCGACGAACGACAGCCUCAGUCAAAGAUCUCUCGUGGCAACGGCGCCCGUUUAAUCUCGGGUUAAUCCUCGAUGUCAAUCAGCAGGGUCUGUUGCUUCGGCAAGUAUUUGUAAGAGAGAGAGAGAAAGAGAAAGAAAGUCGACCUUUAUAAAAGGGGAACGAACGUUUACCCAGAUUCCUGGCAAAACGCUCGGGAAAGGUUGCCGUCGAGGCGCGGAAAAACGGGCACGGGGGAAAGCGUGUGUAUAGGGUGGCGGUUGGGAACGAUGUUCGCGAGUACUUGAAUGUCUCAUUUCGCGGAGGAACCGGGAGUUACCGGGGGUGAAGGGGGUGGCAGAAUGGUGGCGUCACGCCGGAACUUUAUAAAGCGCGUCUUUGCAUGUUUUCACUCCGGGCACGCACGCUUUUAUCGUCCCUACAACGCCGCCGGUAGCGAGCGGCACGAUAACACGAUCCAAUUCGUCGUCACGACACGUAUAUACGUGUAAAUGUGUAUGUGUGUGCGUGUGCGAAUGUGCGUGCGUGUACAUGCGCGUGUAAGUGUGUCGUGUGCAUGCAUAUACAUGGGCAUAUGCGCGUGCACGCAUACAUGCGUCAUGCAUGCAUGCAUGCAUACGCGCAUGCAUACCGGAAGAGCGUGCGGGUGUACCGCGCGCGCGGGGCAGAACGAUCGAUCGCAAAAGUUACGUAAUGAGUCUCCGCGUGUGCUAACUCUUGCCCAGAGACCGCCAAAAUCUAGGUUAUCAAGUUUUCGUCGGCAACCCACGCCGACACGCUCGAACAGGGCCGCAGCUACCUCGCCGAAAGAUGUAAACGUUGAUAAUGUGUAAAGCGUUGAAAAAUAUAAAUAUCUGCCUGCUUUCUUAAAGCGUGAAAAAAUUUAUAUUUCCGAAAAAAAAAAUUUUUUUUAUGCGAACAUUGCAAUUGCCUGGGAAAACGAUCGCUUUUAUUCUGUCUAAGGAUUUGACAAUUGUCCUUAAAAUAAGAACUCGUAAAAUGUUUCAAUAAACUGAUAUCGUUAACUGAACAUAGCUAUUCAUCAGUUAUUGAUAUAGUAAUCAUGUAAUCAAUUUAUCGAAGCAUUUAUCAGUUCUUUUUUCAAAGGUAAAAGAUCUUUUCUUGUGAAUCAAAGUGCAAUGAAUGAGAUUCAUACGCUUGUAGUUAAAAAAAAAUCUGCCACGCAACGAGAUUCAAUAGAACGAUUUUAUUACCGAAAACGGCGACAAAUCGGAUAAAAUUUCUUAAAUCGUCUCUUCCCCCUCCUCUCCCGGAGUGUGAGCGCGCGCACAGCGCCAAUUAAAUUUCAGCAUGGUAAUUCAGGCGGGUGCACCGCCGGGGGAGAUCCCGAAGAUGACGCAUCUCUCUGCGUCAGCGCAGCGCGGCGCGGCGCGGUGGCCCGUUCCUCUCUCCGCUUCUCCCGGUCCAGAAAUGGCUGGCUCGAUUAGCGCAACUGGGCAACCAACUUCGAAAACCCGUCGGGUGCGAUAACUUUUCUCUCCUUUCUCUCUCUGUCUCUCUUUCUCACGCGCCCGUGCGCGCGGCCAAAACUUCUCCCGUUUCUCUUUUUCUCUCCCGUUUCUUUCUCGCAUCGUGCAUUAGAGUAAUCACGGCGAGGAGAGGCGUAACUUUGCGGGAGCGAGACGGCUCUCUCUCAAAGCUCGCCUUAUCGAAUAACGGAGAAGUCGAUCCAGUUAUCCGAAACAUUUGCACGCGGUAGUUCGUGAAGCUGUCGGUGGCAUUUAAUUCGUCAGCGAUAAGGUCACUGCACACCAGUCAAUGAACAAAUUAAUUCAACUUGAUGUAAUUACAUUUUUAAGUAAAGAAUUAUAUCCUAAUUAAUUCUGAAUGAAAAUUAGAUUUAAAAAAUAUCAAUUUGCAAUUUAUUAUUUUGGAGUCUUAUUAUUCUUUUCAAAAUAUCAUCAUUUACUAGCGAUUGUGCAAUGAUCCCGUAUAGAUCGCAAUCUGUUCUACAGAUCGUAUUGAACAUUUAUUUUUAUUUUAUUUUAUUUUAUUUUAUUUUAUUUUUUUUUUUAGAUUCACAUUUCACUCGCGUAAUUUUUGAAAAAUUCGGUGAAUAUCCGGCGUUGCAUGUAUCGCAUCUGUAUUUAUAUGAAAAUAAAUGAAAGGAGUUAUUAUACAGGAAAUUAAAGACAAACAUUUUUAAUAUUUAUGGUAAUGUACACAUAUGUGUAUGUGUGUGCGUAAGGAAGAUUUUUAUAAUUUUUUCGUGAUAUUCCUCAUUCGAACCUACAUUUUAUUUAAUAUACAUUUACGUAAUUGUUACGAUGGGUGCUUAAAUGAUAUUUCAUUAUUUUGAAAUUGCAGGACUUUCAUUUUGAACGCAAUGAGAUGUGGUUUAUGUAAAUCAAACGUUCCAUGAAUGCAGGCCACUGAUAUAUCACAUAUUAUUCUCUUACCGCAUUAUAAAUUAAUUUGCAUAAUAAUAUGGCAGGCGAUUCUGUUCAAAAUUCGCCCUAGCCAUUUUUUCCUUCGAAAAACCGUCGCCAUGUGUUCAAUUACGGUAUUACGAUUUCGGACGUGCGCGAUGUACCGAGAUGAAUGCGAACGCUCGCGUUUUAUUACGUGUAUAUCCUAGUGUCUCAUUAUAGGCCAUGAAUAAUGUAGCGCUUGGAAAUGCAUCGACCGAAUGGGAUCACCCGAAUUUCCGGGGCAGAAUAAAACGCGUCGUAUCCAUGCUAAUCGGCGUAUUGCAUUUUGCCGGUCAAUUGCACCGACUAGACUAACAGUUCAAUUUAACGAUGGCAGGCAAAGAGACGACAGUGAUAAUAUCCACGUCUCGUAAUCGGGAACAACUGCCGGGAACAUAUGCGUCACGCGCGAUGCCGAUUAAAUUGCGCGUCCUCUAAACGGCGUAACGAGCGGUGUACAGCAGCCCGCCGCAUUCCCACGGGAAUGCUUUCAUUCGCGUCGAUCGCCGGGGAUAGGCGAUCCUCUUUGAUUCAUAUCGCACGGCGCGGCGCAACGAUAAGAUCCGUAAAUGAAAGCGCGAUAAACCGCGAAGGGAUUGCUGCUGCACGCCUGUUAUCACCGGUGCAGUCGUAAACUUCCACGACCGUACUGGGAAUUCAAGGAUGCGAUUCGCACGAUUCUCGUGAGCGGAGAGAAACGUCCGAGAUACCUGGUCAAAGAAACAGGCCCGGCAUUCGAUCUCGCUGCGGUUGAUAUGCAUUUCUAUAAGCGCACAGCGCUAGAGUUACGAGAGAGUCCGAAUUGCUUCCGUGACCCGUAAAAUCGAACGUUUAAUUUUAUCAUCGCGUACUCACUGCGUUGCAGUUUGAAAUUUUAUAAUAAUGAUACAUGAUAUUGUUAUUAAAAUUUUAUAACUUUGAUGAUGUAUUAAUGACACGAACGCGACGUAACGCGUAUUCAAAACGUGUAAUAUUUGCCCGAAGAAGCAUCGAAACAUCGUGUCUUGAUGCAUUUUGUAUGUCUAGCUCAUUUAGGCGGUUCUAGGAAAACUUAUGUCUCGCGGUUUAACUAUUUAAUGUUAUACACCUCCCUUAAAUUUACAUAAUGUUCAGUAUGCAAAAUACUAUUUGAUAUUUUCACGCCAGUAAAGCGAAAUUUUAUACCGCAACGAAGGUAAUUUAAUUCGCUGGAACGAGAGAAAAUAGUAACUUGGUGCUUAUAAAUUACAAAAUUUUUUAGUUACAAUAUCCUCUCUCUCUUUCUCUCUCUUCACGGGAAGAGGAAAUCUGUCAUCUGUAAUACUCCAGUUAACAUUCGGUUGAUAGAGGUAAUAUAACAUCUGACGUGACUUCUUAUUCAAGAAGGUCUGCGUUAACAGCGCGUAUUUUAUAGUACUCCUAAUGUACAAAGAUGGAUGUGGUUGUCGGAAAUUCCGAGGGAACUGCGCCGAACCCCACUGACUUUUAAUUCCAUUUCCCGCAAACCAUCUUCUGUUCCCAACAAACAACUGAAUAAUCGAUAGUUACCGCGGCCCCGCUCCGACGGAUGUUGAAUUUUAAUAACAUUGGUUCUCUCAAAUCCAGCGAAUGAAUAGGCAUCAGACUCUUUGUCGGGUGAAUAGUAUUGCAAAGACAGUCGACACGCACGGAAGCGGGAGAAAGGGCUCCAAGCCGAGCGCGGUGAUACGACAAUACGAAAUCGGCCUUGUCAGGCGUCCGGAAAAUCGGAAAAGUCAGGGAAGCUGGGAAGAAUCAGGGGAUGUCAGGGUGAGUCCGAAAAAUUUCGGAAAACUUUUACGAGUUGGACGGGAAAGAUUAAUUGAUGCGGUAGAAUGACAAAUUCGACUUCAAUACUAUUCGAAUCAUUAUUAAAAAUUACGUUUGCGUUUAAAAGGAUUAACCAUAGAAACGAGAGCUCUUUAAUACUUGGAUUUCUGCCAAUGUAAAAUGUAUUAACUUUAAUCGCGAUUUAACUUACUCUUUAAAACUGAAUAAAGAUAAAAAGUAAGUUGAAUCAAGAUUAAACUACGUUGGGUAAAAUAACACAUUAAUCGCUGUACAUCUCGGUCGCUUUAUCUUCCCUAUAUUUUUUUUUCUUGAUUUCGCCGUGUGCCUUUUGCAAGAUAUUGCAAACGCUUUUAGAACCUUAUCUCGCGUAUAUGAUCGAAGUUUGAAGAAACUGGAGAAACUCGUGGAAAUCUUUCAAUUGUAUCCGUGUGCGGCGACUUGGGCAGAGCGAUACGCCACGCGACACCCGUUAGACUAUCGCCGAGGAGAAUGACAUAAGACAUCCCCGUUUCUGACUCGGGCGCCAUAUGACCGUCUCUGUCGCAAGCUCUGGUCCCCGCUCCGGGUACCUAGCGAGGAAGAGAGGAGGGGAGCUUCCUCCUGGCCCCCUCUUACACCCGCAUCGCUAUCCUUUACAUUCUACUACCGUCAUUCCUUGCCCUCUCGUCUCACCGGUCUGCCACCUACCACCACCCCCGCACUCCCACCACGUUGGCAUCGGCGCACAACUACCACCGCAACCAUCACCACUACCACCACGUUCUCCGACCAACACAUCGACCCAAGAAAGCGGAAACGAGAGAGACGAUAAAGGAGAGAAGAAAGAAGUUGAGGAGGAAAGAGAGACGGAGCGAAGCGGGGGAGAUUACGUGGGAAGGAGAAAAAGAGGGGACAAAGAAGCCAAGAGUAACCCGAGGAGAGAUGAGCAAGAUGGAGGAACAAGGAGGCCACCACGUACGAGGAUGGAGUGAUGAGGAGACGAAGGGAGAAGGACAAGGAGAGAGAACGAGAGAAAGAGAGAAAGAGCGAGAGACAGAGAGGGGGCAGCCCAGGCACAAGCAUAGCGUAGCAUGGCACGGCAUAUCCAUAGACAUAUACACUGUGUCUAUGGGCAUAUCGACGAGAUCCGACAGCGGCCGAGCGCCACCGAACACAGCCGACUCGGACCCUGCGCGCUCAACCCAAACCCGAGAAAGCAUAGUUGCAUUUAAACUGCCAUCCUACUCAGGAGGUCUCUCUCUUCCUGAGUCCCGAGCGACCUCGGGACAAAUACGUAUGUACGGUACGUACGUAAGUCGCCGUCGCGCACUCCGCUCUGUGUUAACGUUGCAUCCGCGCUCCGUGUUCGUCUUUCAUGAAAAGAAAAAAAGAAGAGAGGGUAAUAAGGAAGGAAGAGAAUUAUAUAGACCCACAGAAGCGCGCGGUCCUGGCAGAGCAGAGCGGUCCGGGGGUUGACCCGGUCGCGCACAGGAUACCCGGUCGGUCUGACGUCAGGAGCGCUUUAACUUGUUGGAUUCGACGCGAGUGCGACGCGAAAGUGAGCCGAUCCGUGAGCGGUUUCGACCCGAUUCCAACCUCGGGACGGGUGGUGAAGGUGCUGGAGGAGAUGGUUGGACGAACGGAUGUCCCCCUCGGCUUUCGGGCCUGUCGCCCGACGACGGACACCGGCGGAAUGGGAGAGGGGGAGGUGGAGGGCACCCGUUCCCGGUCGGGUUUCCGGUACCGCGACGCGGUCACCUUGUCACGCGUUUUCCGCUGGUUCCGCCACUGGUUCACGUCGUUCGCUUCGUCAUCCGCUUUGUCGGCACUACUGUCACUGUCACUGUGCGCUCAGUUCGGUCGUUCCCCGCUCGUUCCUCGCUCCGCUUCGUGACGCUGUCGCUGUCGCCUCGGCCACUGACAGCUGCGAUGUUCUCCGCGGUGUUAACGAGAUCUCGGCUAUUCGGUGUAAAAAAAAAAAAAACAUCUAGACAGCAAUAAUUCCAAGGCGAAUGAUAUUCUUUGCCUUUUCGAGGCAAAUAUAGUACAUGGUAUUUCUUUUUUUUUUAUACUAGACCUACUUUAGUUGAAGUCUGUAUUAAUUAACUAUCGUGGAAAAUCGAAAUCAGCUUUCUCUUGAAUUUGAAGUAAGCUUUUGAAACGCGGCUUUGAUCACGUCGAGUCGCGGUAUCUGCGAGUGCGUAAUUCUUUGAUGACGUGUGCGAACAACUUUUCUGGAGCGUGAACGUAUAACGACCUUAAUGGACGUUAUGCAUGUCUGUCGUGUAGGGACUGGUAUCUCGUUUUUUGAUGAAACGAGACCCGCCUGCUCUUUCGCGGAUGCCAGUUAUUUGUCAGUAUCUUUAAUCAUCGUAAAUUACCAUUGACGACAAUGAGACGGCAGACAGAUAUAGAGUUAGCUCAACUUGUAGCCGUUGGUGUCGCACACAUGCACACACAUUCACACACAAGCGACGUUCUUAAAUCAUUCGAAUACCGAUAAUCGUCGCCGGCACAUUGUUCGAGAACAUUGAUCCAGGUCUAACUCUCGAUUCGAUGAAAGAUUUUGCGCAUACGAUUUUGAAAUAUAUGUUAUACUGUCAGAAAUUCCGCGAUUUGGGACUCCUGUUAUCGCGCUAGUAUACAGUAUCAUCGUCGUCACUUUCGAGUGAAUAUGCGAUUAAGCUUGUGAACCAGCGAGCCAAAGUUCGGUCUGAGCUAAUGUUCCGGAGGCUAGAUUACAGAUGCCCGUAAGGCACGUUGGGAAGUUUCAGCGAACCCAUUCGGGGUCGAUGACGAGUGUCCGCAUUUUUGACGCGUAACGUAAUGCGGGUUGAUACCGAGAGUCGUGAUAGCAAACGAGAGAAGUUACACGCGACGCAAUGGCAUUAUCUCAGCGAGUUAUCUUUGGAUCUUGUAAAUCAAGUACGUACAUCAGUCGGCGAUAUCUGAAGCGAGUGUAAGUUACAUGAUUUCCAAAGAGCGGUGCGCGUCUAUCUUUCACAUAUCAAUUUCUAGUAAAAUUUCGGGAAGAACGGAAGAUUUGUAGAUUCGCUUCAUGAAAAUAAUCGAUAUUUAAUUAGAUGAGAUCGGUGUAAUACAUGUAAUGAAAUUUUUCGAGUGCAUCUGUCGCGCCGAUUUCUCUCAGUAAAUUAUUCCCCGCGCUCGAACGCUUGUACCAGAAUAUGCAACACGCUGUCACUGCACUGCGUUGCGCGUGCAGCGAAAAUAUUUGCCUAUGGAAAUAUUUGGACCCGUCGGAGUGGAUCGCGCCGUUGCACGUCAGCCAGUAAUCCCAGCACCGUGUGUUGGCGGCGACACUCGAAAAAUGCCGAGUAUAUAUCUAAUAUUAAUACUAGAGGCUAUUAACGAGGAUAUUCGUCAUCAUCACUCCAGCGGCGUUAAUCAAUAAGAUUUGCCCGUGGAUAGAUCGCGUACGAAAGCGCGGAAAAUCCCAGUCCAGCGGCUGACACGUCCUCAAAUUUGAUUUCUGACGGGGCCGCCCAACAAUAAUUGUCAAUCGCCGCGUCCAAAAUCAAGCUGGUGGUAGUGCCUGACGAGAGAGACCUGCGUACACACGUCUCACACGCAGACACCCACACGCGACACGUUCUCGCGUUGCCGUGGUACGAUCUUCCCGAAAUUUUUUCAGCGACGAUUAAUCACCCUGCCGGUUAACGUAAUCAAUCUCGAUGUCAAUGCGAUUUCGUCGUUAUUUUUUUUUUUUUUAUCCCUGUAGCUGUGUUAACGUCACCGGGAGAGACAGAGAGAGAGAGAGAGAGAGAGAGAGAGAGAGAGAAAGAGAGAGAGAGAGAGUAUGUGCGUCCCUGUGGUCGAGGAUGUUCUGGGAAAUUCGUUUCGCGAAAGAGAAUGGCCCGACCGGUGCCAGCGACUUCGGAUCGAAGUUUGGAAACGCUUUGUUCCCGCUGAAAAAGGUGUUUGAAAGAGGGUUGCACGGAUCGAUAUAUCGGCUUGACUCAUCCCCUCUUCCCAUCUGUUUCCUCCCCUCUCUCGUUCUCGUUCUCUCUCUCUCUCUUUCUCCCUUUUUCUCUUUCUAGUCCCGGGAUGAUGUUUCUGCUAGAUAUCGGCGUGAACAAAUACACAGUACGCGACGAGUAUUCAUUGAUAACUCGCAAUUCUUGUUCGAGUGAGGUUUUUACGCGCGACGCGAAUUACUUUUCGAAUCGUUGAGGUCAGAAUUUCGAGGAUUAAAAUAGUGGGAAGUAAUGUCCGAUUGAUUAAAUCGACAGACGGAAAAAUCGGUAGGUUGUAAUUAAACCGUCAUGCAUUUUAACGCAGCGAUCCCUCGCGUAAUUGAAUUAUUUAACGACGCGCUAAUACGCGCUCUUGUGCGUAUCGUGUCGUACUUUGCAUGUCAAAUCACGAAUUUGUAAUUAACGUAAUGAAACGUGAAGCUUGGAAGAAGUGUUGGGAGAGGAACUAAUGAAUAGUGAUUAGGAGCCUAACGUAAAUUCACCUGCGACCCGGUGCGAAACAAUCGAGCUCUGUGUCGUGGAAAUUAAGCAAGAUUUCCCAACGGCGUGGAAAACGCCGUUCCGAGUGAAUCAUCAUGAUGCAACGUUUCGUAACUGCAUGCAUCUAUUGCGGCUCUGCAAAAUUAUCCUCGCCGCGCUCGUUUAUAUUGAAUUCGUUUAUAUCACCGUAAUCCCUUUGACACUUGUACCAAAAAUUCCGCGAGCCCUCUCCCUCUUCUUCCCCAGUUCCGCCGCGAGGCUCCGUCGGCGAAGUAAAGCGUUCCCGAUGUAACACCGCCGCCGUACUUGUUGCGUCUAAAACUUCACGAACCGAAAUCUCCCUCUCGCGCGCUCGGCCUCGUAAAUUCGUAAUAGCGCGAAUUAGCGAGUGUCCCACGUCGAUGUCGCGAUACGGCGUGUAUAAUUGCACGCGAAAUUCACCUGGCUUAGACUACGGCGGGCGUUAAUGAAUGCGCCGCGCAUCCUGGCAAAAACACCGUUCGCGGCACUUUGCGCUAAACGUCAGAACGUUAGUUGGACAUAUUGGAGCGAAGCGGAAGUAAUUGCACGGUGCGCGCGACGACCGGUUGAAUUUCGCGUUACUACAACUGCAGCCUCGAUUUACCUUUACAGCGCGAAUCAUCGGGCAUUUCCCGAAGCAUUUUUGUUCGCUACUUUCCCGGCUCCGCUUUCUUGAAUAUUUUUGUCUACGGUUUUCUUUUGAUAAUACAACUUUUCCGAUAAUGGACGGAAUACCGAGGCUUUGAAAUGAGAGCGGGUAAUAUCGUCUCCUGGGAAUUGUAGCGAGUGGAGGGAAGGAAACGUUAUGCGUACAAAUGUACGACACUCGUCCUCGCGGAGCGGCGAAGUGGCAUGGGUUGUCCUCGUUCUAGAUUUAUUAUUGCUAUAACAAACGGCUGCGCUUCUCUUUGAGGUCUUUAUUAUUCAAGUAAGAAAAGCACUUGAAGACACGGUUAUUGAAACGAUCACGACGAGAGCCAAUGGAAACAAAUUUACUGAAUUACUUUCAAGCACAAAUGCCCUUUGAAGUCCAAAGUCUCCUUCUUAUUUUGGACGGAGGGAAAUUUAUAUAGGUGGCCAGGCUGCUAGUUACGUCAACGUUGAUAUUUAUUCAACGUAGCCAUAGCUCUUUAGACCGGUAUUUAUAAUCGAUUCUUACUUCAAGACCGUCUUAAGUAAUGUCUCGAGAUGCUAAUGAUACGGUUCUACGAUUGGUUUAUGACAUCUUAAGACAAUAGGUACUUAAGACGUUCUUAAAUAAGGAGCGGACUCUCCGUGAGUACCGGUCUCUUCUCGGUUGAGAAACCGUGCUCUCCGUUCCUUUUUUCCCUUCGUAAUCAUAAUCACAGGUUUCCCAAAAAAUUUCUAAUGCCUCCGUCAUUUCCUCGACGGUUUCGAAACGCGAUCCGGCGCCGCGAUUAUCGCUAGAUUAGAUGGCUUCUCUCAACCGCUCAACCGUUACGUCAUCCGGUAUUAACCGGAAAUCGCUACUUGUAACGUCAAGCUACAAUUAUAAGCGUAAUUAUUUGUAAAAGCGUGCGCGCAGUGACACGGCGGUGGCGGCGCCUGCUUCGUAUACGCGGCACAUCGAGAUCGUUGCGCAACAUCCGACAUUGUCGGGGCAUUCGCGAGAGCGGUUCGCGCUUUUCGCGGGCGCGUACAUGCGCCGGCAUGUAGCUCGUCUCCGGCAAUCGAUAGACCUGAGUGACCGAGGAAAUUCGCGAACCGAACCGAAAUUUCAUCCACGUCGGAAGCGUCGCGAUGUUUGCAGCCGGAGGAGGAAGCGCGCCUAUCGAUCUGCCUCGACCCAAAAAGACGUACGAGCAGCCCAAGUGAAAAAAAAUACACUGAGAAUCGUGCACAUGCACUAUUAGCAAUCGACGAUGGAGCACACAAUGUAGAACAAGGUAAGAAAUACGAGAUAAUUUACAAUGUGAAAGGUGUUUCACGAAAAAACGAACAAGUUCAUUUUUAUACUAAAAAAUUCGUGUUAGGACAUUAUAUCAUUUUGUAUUAUCGUGAACAAUUUUGUUCUGACAAGAAUUAUGAAGAAAUUUUAGUUUAAUAUAUGCUAUUUUACAAGUACAAAACUAGUUCGUAUAAAAAAAAUAUUGCUUUAAAUUAUAUUUCCUUCUAUAUCUUUUAUCAUUAUUAAUGUUAUAAAAAAUAAAAGUAAAAUAUAAUGUUACAGGAUUAAUAAGUAAACAUAUAAAAUUCCCGCAAAAACAAGAGGUUUUUUUUUAUUUUUUUAACAUAUUUUUAAAAUAUUAAUUAAAGCUUACAACUUUGUUUUUUAUACCUAUCAUAUAUCCAGAGAAAAAUUACCAUGUUUAUACGAUGAAUGGUUUGGGGAGGUUUUUUGUUUCCUGAAAAUUUAACUUUUUGGACUUGUUUGAUUUCUGUGACAUACUUUUCCACCAGUUGUAAUUUCAGUUAUUAUGUUAUUAGCGAUUACAAUUUAACUAAAAUGUCAAAUCCACGAAAAUCUAAAUUGGCAACGGGGAUAAAAGCGUUCGCUCUUGAUUAAACUGAUUUAUAUCAAUAAUAGUAUAAUAACCCACAUUCGUGCGAAUGAAAUGCGAUUGCAAAUGUCGCAAUUUAUCUAAUACAUUCGCGGCAUUCGAUUCGCCUCAAACGCAAUUAAUUGCCGCGACUUGAGUAAUCAUUUCUACAACGGUAAAACGCCAGCGCGCGCGACGUCCCACGUUACCCAUUAUUGCUACCUGAUUAAUAUAAAUGAUAUUAAUAUUGAUGAGAAUGCAGAUACUUAAUUAACUCGAUAUAUUCAAUUAAGCCCGGCUCUACCGCGGCAAUUUCCCCAAAGUUCAUUUUCCGCGGGUCGGGACCAUUUUCCAGUUUAUUUAGCCGAUAUAACUGUUCCGGGUGCGUCGCGGCCAUCCUAUGUAAAUUCGGUUACAGCCGCCAUGAGACACCUAACCGCACGAACGAGUGCGCAAAUAACGCAAAAAUCUAUAUUCGAUAAAGGGAAAUGUGUGUGUGGUUACGAUUACAACGUUCACGAUCCUCUCCCGCGGGACUCGAUGGCUUCCAAUUUGUUGACCUUUCGUUAGUAUCGGCGAAAGAUCAAAUUUUCACGUUUAUUCGCAAUUAUUCGUCUCUUUGGCACGCCAACUUUUGAUAUUUUCUGAUUUUUUUUUUUUUUUAUUUUGCCAAAUCGAUAAUCGGAUCUCUCUCCCUCAUGGACCUUUAAUAAUUCGUGGCGCGGAGAUUUCUGACCUCGUGUCGCCACGGUUUACUCUCGUAGCCUCGCUCUCGGUGAUUCGCGCGGUUUUAGAACCACCGGAGAGCGUGCGCGCGCGCGCGUACACACACACACACACACACACACACACACAACUGUCUGUAAUAAAAUUCUGAUUUCGAUGCCGGCGUCAAGCCGGGGUCGGCAAAAAAGGGAAAUAACGACAGGUCGCAUCCGCGGCCGGAUUCGGCCGAGACCGCCCGCGUACGGUCGCCUCGUAAAUUCACCACGAAGCGCGCACCCUUGUACCGGCGCCGAUCGGCGAGAAAAUAAAUUCCCUGGGAUUGCAACCGUACGAUCGGGGCUCGUGUAAAAAGGAAAAAGUUUCGCGCAAAAAGAAAGGGAAGAAAGGGAGAAAAUUACGCGCUCGCGGUGGACAUUCUACUCUUCCUCUCUGGCUCUCUCAGCCUCUCUCUCCCCGCCGCUCGCCCUCUCGCUCCGCGUCGCUUUUUGUCCGCACGAGAACGGCGGUGGAGCAUGUAAUCGGAUUUCAAUGACGAUACGUUAACAACGUUCGGCCGUCGCCGAUCUCGUCGCGUUGUCGGUAAGAAAUGAGAUUACCCCCGGCGAAAUGUGGGAGGGGGAUGUGCAUACGCCGUUACGCCGGGCUUCGAAUGAUGCUCCGUCUCUUCCGAUGUAUGGGGAUCGAUAAUAUCGGGCCAAUCGGUAUGCAGGUGCUGCAAUUGAACUUGAUAGCGGAGCGCGCCGGAUAAUGCAUGAAAAUCUAAGCCACCGCCACCGCACCGUAUAACGCCAACCAAUGUUCGCGUGAGUUAUUCUUACUCUGAUUAUUAUAACCAUUUUUUUUUCUUUACAUAGAAAGAAUGAUUUUUCUCAAAUGUAAUAUUUAAAAAUUUAGCUAGAUGUAGAUUUGAAAAUAAUUUUGUGCAAAAUUGUUUGCAUUGCUCACCACGUUUGAAUUCAUCAUAAUUAUUUUGAUGGUGGUCCAAUGAAAUUAUUUUCAGGUACAUCCAGCUAAAUGUUCAGAUACUUGCUGUAAAUCCUCGAAAUUCCGAAUUACAUCAAGAACUUGAAAAGCUUUUAAAAUGCGGUUGGAAAGAUUAAUAACUUCUGAUUUUUUUGCCCAAUCUUGAUUAGCAGAUACAUGAUUGAAUACGUAUGUACGAUAAAAGUUUAUUACUUUUGGAAUGGAAGGUGGAAACAGGAAAAUAGUACACGCUGCUUCUUCUCGAGCGAAAAUUCAACGUUCAUCGGAAAAUAGUGCUUGAACUCUGUUAAGACUCGAACGGGCGAUCAAUUCAACCUCGAAAUCAAAAUGGAAACCUGCACGACACCCGUGGGAGAUGUUCCCAUUGUCCAAAGGUCGAAGUGCACCGAUGCGGAGAAGUGCAAAGGCGAACGAGUACGCGAGCGAGGGUGGCAGGGGAGGAGCACGAGGUGGAUGAGUGAAGGAGAAACGAGAGAAGGAGAGAAAAUCUGCGAAAGUGGCGAUGUACAAUUCACUUGUUCGAGGGACUACGCGGACUAGUUUUCAAACUGCCUGCAGCCCCGCUUAAGUCUCUCAAUGAUCCCUUUGUUUAGCCACGGGGGUGGCCUUAAUGAUCGCUUGUCCCCAGUAAUGUCACAUUUUGUACAGUUUUGCCCACCUCCCUUUCACCCGGUUCUUUAACUAUCGUCGUCCCUCUCAUCGUCUCGGUUUCCGAGCCUCUCCUUAUUAUGUCGCGACGAGUCGUUUUCGCUAGAGAGAGAGAGAGAGAGAGAGAGAGAGAGAGAGAGACGCGCCUUCUUUCUCAGUCAUUUACAGCCUUCAUCAUCUCUAGCGCUCGAAACAUCGGUGUUGCUUUGCUCUCAUCCCCCUCAAGUGUCCAUCCAACCCCGAUAGCUGCCCAUCUUCCUAACAGGUCUGGAACGAAACUUAGGACGAAUGCAAACUGUAAUGUAAAAACAUAUUCAGCUUCUAAAAAAUGUUUCGAAGAUUAAGAAGAUGAAAAGAAAAAGGAAAGUAAAGUGCCCCUCUAGACAUUUUUCAUCAAGUAUACAAGGAAAGAACAAUUUUGUUGAAGUAUCUAAAUAUUUAGCUGAAUAUAGAUCUAAAAAUAAUUUUAUUGGACCAUCAAAAUAAUUGUGACGGAUGUUCGAGCGUGAUGAGCAAUGCUGCAAAAAAAUUUUAAACAUUUUAGCAAUUUACAGUUUGAGAAUCCAACAUAAUUAUUUUAAUGGCCUAACAAAAUGAUUUUCAGAUCUGUAUCCAACUCAGAUUUUCUUCGCGCGCGUAGAAAGCGUUGUUGAAUUUUUACAUGGAUUAAUGUUAAUCGGGAGGAAAGGUUUAUUGGUUCGUACGACACACGUUUGCAGAAGGUUUGAAAAAUUCUAGAAGUAUUCCGCCGCGCCUGGCGGCGAUGCUUAGGUCGCGGUCUCUCGAAUUUCGGUCGAUCUACUGUAAGCGAUUUCGUCGCUCCAUGCGCGAAAUCUCUUUCAUACAUUUUGCGCAUACUUAUCGCGGAUUUGCCGGUGGUGCCGUGCUCUUCCCCCUCGUCUCUACGCACCUUCACCUUCCUCCGUUCGCUUAAACUUUUCAUAGCCGCUCGUUUUUCUCGCUCUCGGAGCAAGCUUGCACGGGGCUCUCGCCCGAUAUUCUUAUGUUAAGCGACGCGAAGUGCCGUCGCGAAUAAAUUGCGUGGAUAAUUGCGCGGAACGGUUUUGACUAAGCCCACGCGGAAUAUAACGCGGAUACGUCCCAUUAUGUCGUGAGAUAUCGCCCCCCGGAAAGAGAUUUCGAGACCUCCCUUUAAUUAACUGCAACCGUUUACCGUUAUAAUCAAAAUGAUAAUCAAAAAAAUAACUGAAGCUUAUUGUUCCUCAAACGAAUGCUGUAUUAAUCGAAUAGCAGAAAUAUUAAUUUUGUCUACUCAAAUUAAAUUCAUUAUUGUCACUAAUAAUUUCAUUUUUUAAUUUAACAUUUAAUGAGAUUCUCCAACUGAAAAAAAGUAGAGAAUAAUCACGUGUAACUUUUCAUACGCGGAUAAAAGUUUCUUCUGAUUGUUUAAAUAAAUGUUAGUAUAAACUAAUUUUUUUUUAAACUUUGAAAAUUUUUAAUCAAGGAAAUAAUGUUUAAAAGAGUAUUAUUUGAAAGUAAAUUUUUUUUUUCAGUUUGUAUAUAUCUUUUAACACAGGAGCUUUUUUGUGAGAGACAUUUCCGUGUUUUUAAAAUAAUAAAUAUUUAAUCAAAUUUAAGCAAUAAAAACAAUGAUUUGUUAUUUAAAAAGAAUUUCUUUGUAAAAUAUUCAUAAAUAUUGACAUAGGCAAACUUGAUAAAAAAUCCUUUGUAAUAGUGAUUUAAAUAUAUUAACAAGUCAGUAUUUUUACUAGUAUGACAUCAUAUUUAAAGAGAAUAAUAUUAUGAACAUUUUAUUUCUCUCGCACGAAAAUGAUACAGUGCAUUUGAUUUUUUCCAAAAUGUUCUUUUAACUCUAUUUUUUCUUAUAUAAUUUUAAAAACUAUACUUUCUAAUUAAAUUACUUAAAACUUUCCUUCCUAUAAGGCUCAAUAUUCUGGAAAAUUAUUUAAGGAAAAAUGGUCAAAAAAUUAAACAAAAAUCAAGUAUAUUAAUCAUAAAUUUAUUAUCUCUUAAAAUUUAUAUGAAAAGACUGAAAAAUAUUAAAUUGACUUCUACUACCAGAGCAAAGUAAGAAAAUAAGUGCGCUGUAAGGAUCUAUUUUCCUGCAGUAUAUUUUUGGAGACAACUUUAGAAAAUGUACAGCGUAGAAGUCUGGAAAUAUGGUCGAACAACGGUCUAUUUCGUCAUGUUUUCCACGAAUCUACGACUAGCUGGAAAUUCCGAACGCGACGUCGCAAUCGUCGCGAGUUUAAUGCCAAGUGUUAAUCGUUGGAAUUGUUCGGACGGAUUGCGCGGGUCGGCUGUAAAGCUUAUUCGUAGUAACGGAUGUAGGGCUUCUGCUUACGGUUAUUUACGUAUGAGUUUACUGCUGCGACCGCAUAUAUAGGCGCAGCCCAUAUUUUAAUCCCACGAGCAAACUCGCGCACUCGCGCGCGUCUCGCCGCGCUUUGCGUUUUCUUCGCGAGAACGAGGAUGGUCCGCGUUCCAUCACACCAUCUGUUUUCUACGUUACGUAAGACUCUAUUCCGACCGAUUAUCUACUGCGCCGCUCCAAUAUGAGCGCAUUGGUGUGAGGACGGGCUCUACAGGAUGUCGUGGAACAAAUAAACCGUUCUUUCCAACGUGAAUGCUAUCGCAAUCUUUUCUUAAUGAAUCACUUGAUAAGCCUUGAUUAUUACUAGUCGCGUCUCAUUAAAUCGUUUUAACAUUAAACGCUUCGAUGAUUAAGCUGUAAUUUAAAUAAUUACAUAUGCAUUAAUGUAGAAAAUUGACGAAAUUCAUUGAAAUUCAUCACCUUUGCGAGUUUUCGCAAUUUCACGAAAGAUAUGUAUACAUUGAUAAAACAGCUAUAAUGAUAAUUGAACCUAGAUGAUAGUUAUUAAUGCUAUGUUGAAAUAAUUGGAAUUAACGUUCGGUUAAUAGCAUAAUAAUCAAAGCGACUAAACGCUAAUUUUACUUUUUAAUAUAGCAAUUAUUAUCAAACGGUUGAUUACUAUUAUUAUGUUUAGUAAUUAUUGUAUCGCUUGACAAAAUACGGAUACGCUGAGAAAAAGUUUUUAAGUUGACUAAAUUUUACAACUUAAUUAAAUGUCUUCAGUUCAAGUAUUUAUAUAUUUCACUAAAAUCUAUAAAAUAUUUGAACUGUAGGUAUUUAUAUUUUUAAUUUAAAUAUUUGAAGAAAUUUAAUUAAGUUGAACAUUUUAUUCAAAUUAAUAACUUUUUUUCUCAUUGUAGUCAUAAGAAAUAUCCAGAAAGAAGGCACUUUUAUUAGUCCGCGAUCUCGCUCGCGUUUGUUUACAUCCUAAUUUUCACGUUUCAUUGGAUUUCGGCCAUCACGAACCCCCGUUGCGUUUCUCGAGCCCGGGGAAUCCGGAGCGAACGACGCAAUUCAGCGACCGCACGUCUCAAGGAGCGCAAAGGAGAGGACAGCUGGAGAGCGGAGCGAGAGAGAGAGCGAAACGGAAAGGAACGGGGUGACCGGGGAGGAAUCGUGUGGCUGUUCUCCGCACGCGGGGUGACGUCAUAAAGCUUAUUUAUACAGCCACACGUGCGUGAGGCGUGUGGUCACGGCGUUGUCGCGAGUUGUCGCUGCUUCUGUAUUAGAAACUAGAAUGAGCCUAGAGCUCCGAAACGCCACGUACGCGCGGCUCGCAUGCAUGUGAUUUUUUUUUAACGCUUCGCCGUCCUCCGCGCGAGAGGAGAGGAGUGGAGAGGAAGAGAGGAGCGCGUCUCUCUCACUCUCCCUCGUGCAACCGCGUUUGUUCUCUGGUACGCUUCGCCUGCCGCGCGACACGCGAUUGCGUCAGAGCCGUUAUACGCCGCGCGUUACGAAAUCCUGGAAAAUCUACGGGUCCCCGCGCGUUUGAAAAUACACCGCGCGAAAACGGUGGAAUGGCGACGUCCACGCGCGACGCGACGGGGAAAAACAAUAACGAGCCCGAGAUAGAGAGCCGGAAUGCGCCGGACGCGGAAUGGCUUCGGAGGCGAUAAAAAUAUUGCGUACGACGGCGAUGACGCAACGUCCCGCGCCAAACAAGACUUAUCAGAGCCGCCGGUCUAACGACGGCGUGAUGCAAGCGACGCAGUCUGCGGUCUGAUCUUUUGACGGUCAAAUGUUUCACGUAUGACGAGAUCUAUAAAAAAAAAAAAACUAAAUAUUUAAAGAAAGAAAGAACAAAAUCAGAGAGAAUAAGCUUUUAUCUUUUAUCCUCUAUUAAUUGCUUUUUUUAUUUCAUUGUUAUAUUUUUUUCCGAAUCAAUUUGUUAUCAGUUAUAUCGCGAAAACUAACGAUCGCUCCAAUAAUUUUUUUCCUCGUAUUGAAAAAGAAUUUGUAUCUUUAUAGUCAUUCGUUUUAUAACAAUUAACUUUAUGGAAAUUUCUCUUUCAACAUAUUUGUGGACUGUAUUUUCAAUUCGUUUGCGUUAGAGAAACAGAGAAACAUCUCGGAAUCUUUGGCGGCAUUUUGCGUUGAAUGAUUCAACAAGGCAGUCUAAUUUUGUAGUAUGACUACUCGCUGCGCUGCGUGUGCGGAAUUCGCUUCGCGGUAGAAGCCGUAGUGAGUCCGUGCGCGACGUGGUGCAACAAAGUGGCACAGUGUUUGGAGAGAUCCAUGCGCUGUUAGAUGCCAGUGCAUCAUCGUCGUCGUCGUCGUCGUCGUCGUCGUCGUCGUCGAAGGUUUACACGAAGACGCCAUUCCGCCGAAAGCCGCGCGAUUGCGCGUUUUGGUGUGGAACAUUGGGGCGAGCUCUCCGACGUCGUGUCGCAUCAAAGGAACGCGAUUACAUCAUGCAUACAAUGAAAUCUACAAGUCCUCUUCAGCGGCCCUUGAGCACGCCGCCGAGAGAGCAUCGCGACGAGAGAGAUUGCGCGUCCCAAAUUCCGCGAGAGGAUCGUCUUUCUCCCCGAAGUAGCUAACAACCCGAGCGAUCUCCCCCGAAAGAAAAAAAAAAGAAUAUCGAGAUUCCAUAUGCGAAUUCCUGAUCCAAUGAUUCACAGCUGCUUCCCGGGGAAUAAAUUUUCUCUGGUUAUGUGUACAGAAAAAAGGAAUUAGUAUCAAAUCAACGAUCGUUGAGCAAGGAUAUAAAAUCUUUAAAAAGAGUUCGAUAAUCUUAAAUUUCAACAAUAUAUGAUAUAUUUUUUUAUAUUUUAAUAUUUUAAUAAUUGUUUAAAAAAACGUAAUAAUUGUUUUGACAAUAAUAGUAUUACAAAAUUUUAAUUCAACAUUCUUGUAUUAUUGUCAAAAGAAUCAUAUCGUGUUCUUAAUCUAUAUAUUAUAGUAUAGUUAUAAUCAACUAUACAUAUAUGCGGUCUACAAUCUUUGUUUACAACUAAGAUUGAAGAUAUUGUUAUUUUUUAACUUUUUUCUUCUCAACUUAUGAAAUAAAUAAAAUUAGACACAAAUUUUUUUAUGUACAAGUUAUAUCUACUCAUUAUUAAAUGUUUUAAAGAAAAUUUUUUAUUUGCUAAUACAUAAGACAAUGAUUGUUGAUUAAAUACUAUCUUUUUUCUGUGUAAGAGCGAAACCAGAGAUGACAGAAAGUGUAAACGAGAACCUUUGUUUUAAAGGAACACGAAGAAAAAUUUAAUAUCUUCGCUCUCAUACUCGUCUGAAACAUUUACCUCAGCGGAGAACAAAAAGCAUUCGCUCAGUUUUAUUCAUACGGAUCCGUUGUUGUGCUGCGUUCGGCGUCAAUGGGAGAAACACCGAGAGGAACACCAAAGAAACGGAAAAAUGUUGGGCGUUACAGGCGGGCCUGACUCUUUGCUCGGCCCGUACUUUUAAUGUUGGGUGAGCAAAGUUUCAGGUGUGUUUGUAUCGCAACGUAACAUCGUAACGUAGCGCGAAGGCGAAGUGGAAUAGAUCCUUUUAUACGAUCAUCAUCGAACCGGCGUGUCUUGACGGUACUCUUACGCCUGAAAUUUGCUUUUUUUACCUGGCCUCUGCGCUCUCUCACUUGGAGAAAAUAAAGGUGAGCAAAGUUUCAGGUGUGUGAGUGCGUUAAAUUUGCCGGCGCGUCGACACGCCGCCGUUUAAAUCCCGUACGCGAUUUGCAAUGGCCACCGAAGACAAUUCGCUCGAUACGGCCGCUAAUUAAAGUCAUUGUAAUUUCUCAAAAGCGACGAACAAAAGGACAUACGAUUGGAUUGUUUCGCGAUAACAUGAUAUUAUUGUUUGAUAAAUUACUCUGACUCUACCGCGGCGAUAUUCAUGCAGGCAUGCGGGAUCAACUGAAUUAAUUAAUUAAAUUGAACUUUAUUACGUAAUAAUUAGCUGUUGUUUAUCUGGACAUUUCCGAUGUUGUUAUCGAUAUGAUAUAUGUUUAUAUUUAAAGAUGCGGGAAUUCGCAUCCCGUUCAACUUUUAUUGGAAUUCUAAAUAAAUUAUAUUGCAAUUGUUGAAUUGUCAAGUGUGUUUAUAAAAUAUAAUAAAUUAAUGGAAAAAUGUGCGCAGUAGAUAACGCGCGUGCAAUUAUCUGUAAUACAAAGACCUGUAAUUAUUUAAUCACGGCGUUGGAGAAUGAAAAAUUGUUUCUUCUUAUGCAAGUUCAACAAAUCGUUUGUGAAUAGUAAUGCAAUAAAAUAUUGUGAUCAGCUAUGAAACUCUGUUUCGCUUAAAAACAAAAAAAGAAGGAUUAAUUGCUGCGGACUUAAAAUAGAUCAGAUUAAUUAAGCAACAGGGUGAAUUUUUGAUCAGAAAAUGGGAAAUUCAUUCGCCGUAAUAUCCUAUAAUUACAUUUCUCGCCAUGUGUACAGAAAUAAAUUUUUCCAUACUCAACA